This 68-nucleotide transfer RNA is filed under the name uncultured Eisenbergiella sp. It matches the Rfam family "tRNA". From Rfam's summary of the family: Transfer RNA (tRNA) molecules are approximately 80 nucleotides in length. Their secondary structure includes four short double-helical elements and three loops (D, anti-codon, and T loops). The record is from RNAcentral. Lineage: Bacteria; Bacillati; Bacillota; Clostridia; Lachnospirales; Lachnospiraceae.
GGUGUGGCUCAGCUUGGCUAGAGCGCCUGGUUUGGGACCAGGAUGUCGCAGGUUCGAAUCCUGUCACC